Molecule: ribosomal RNA, 484 nt
Filed under: uncultured bacterium
Lineage: Bacteria
Description: partial 16S ribosomal RNA
Rfam family: Bacterial small subunit ribosomal RNA
Source: RNAcentral
AUUGAACGCUGGCGGCAGGCCUAACACAUGCAAGUCGAGCGGAUGAAGGGAGCUUGCUCCUGGAUUCAGCGGCGGACGGGUGAGUAAUGCCUAGGAAUCUGCCUGGUAGUGGGGGAUAACGUCCGGAAACGGGCGCUAAUACCGCAUACGUCCUGAGGGAGAAAGUGGGUGAUCUUCGGACCUCACGCUAUCAGAUGAGCCUAGGUCGGAUUAGCUAGUUGGUAGGGUAAAGGCCUACCAAGGCGACGAUCCGUAACUGGUCUGAGAGGAUGAUCAGUCACACUGGAACUGAGACACGGUCCAGACACGUACGGGAGGCAGCAGUGGGGAAUAUUGGACAAUGGGCGAAAGCCUGAUCCAGCCAUGCCGCGUGUGUGAAGAAGGACUUCGGAUUGUAAAGCACUUUAAGUUGGGAGGAAGGGAAGUAAGUUAAUACCGUGCUGUUUUGACGUUACCAACAGAAUAAGCACCGGCUAACUUCGUG